GGAUAUUGGAACGCAGAAGUUAGAGUUGAUUGUAUUCUCCACAUUUCCCAUCAUCCUGCUGCUGCUGCUUAUUGCGUCAGGAAUGUGAUUUCUGGUAUAGAUAUUGUCAAUCGUGUUCAUAGCAACGGAUUCAUUCAUCUAACCCUAUUAGACGGCUCGGUUUGGUUGAUUGGUUGGUGGUAUAUUAUGACCCGCAUCUGAGUUUCGGAAGAAUCCAGAAACUACACAUUGGAAUCUAAAAAACCUCGAUAUCCAUCUUUUUUGGGAAUCCGUUGCAGGUUUUGGUACCGGAAUCAUUUGGAUUCCUGAGGAGACAUGUAGCAGGGAGAUUGGAUCAAGCAACUGUGGGUUGGAGAAAUGCUCUGAGGAUUGUUCUAAAGCAGUACCAGAUGGUGAGGGGACCUGCAGAGACACCACACUUGUAUCUGCAGCUAUCAUUGUAAGGAACCCCCAGUCUAAUUAUACAUGGUGGUGAUCUUCCAAGCAAAUGUGUAUUUCGUGUUUCUUGAAAUUUACUUGACAAAUAAAGGCGUUGAAAUAAAAAUUCAUGCAGAAUGACUCGAUAGUUGUUUAGAUGAUGUAUUAAUUUACAA
Rhododendron vialii is the source of this 593-nucleotide RNA transcript. RefSeq lists it as uncharacterized. The record is from RefSeq and is a predicted model, not a curated record. The transcript has 2 exons. NCBI's taxonomy places the organism in Eukaryota, Viridiplantae, Streptophyta, Magnoliopsida, Ericales, Ericaceae.